AAUCAAUGUCAUUGUGAUAAGUACCCAUAUCCAGGUACAAUAUAUUCAAUAGUUGAAAGGUAAAGGUCAACUAAAUUUAAAAACAAAACGGAAUCAUGAUUAAAAAUACAAUUGUGAUAAUUGUUUGAACAAACAACAACAAUCAAUCAAUAACUGUUACAAUAUAGUGAAUUUAAUUUUCCACAAAAUUAAAAGUUAUAUCGUUAAUACAAUUAACUCAUAUGGUAAAGGACAUUGACAAACAUUGACCAACAAUUAACUAACCCAAUGAGAUGAAAAUGUGAUCGGAUUAAAGGGAAACAAGUUAAUUACAAUUAACUAAUAAACGUGUUAACGUGUGUUAAUUAAUUGUUAUAUCAAAUUGUUCAACAAAUAAUGUACGUGUGUGGGUUAGGAUUUAAUUGAUUGUUUAUACAAAUUAACUUGAAACAAUCAAAGAGAUUUGAUUGACUUGGACACAAUUGAUUCGCAAUUGAUGUUAACCUGAUAUACAAUCAACUGAUUGUGAUGAUACACUGAUGAAGAUAAAGGAAGACAUUUGAACAAUGGAUUCACCUUUGAUGUUGAAGGUUAAAAAGAUAGAUGGACAUUUGAUUGUUUCUCUUUCUUUUCUUUCUUUUUUUUACCUUUAUAUUUGUAAAUAUUUUCUUUUACUUCAACUUGUUGUUGUUGUUGUUGAAGGAGGUGGAGGAGGAGGAGGAGAGGGAGGAGAGAGAAUCAACUGACAUUACUAAACCAACCUCUCUGAAAGUUCCGGGUCAAUCUUCUCGUCUUCAUCUUGAUCCUCAUCUUCAUCUUUAUCUUCAUCUUUCAACUGUAAAGAAAAGGUUUACUUCUUGUAUACUGUUGGGGUGUUUGUUCAUAGCAAAGGUAGGGCGUAAUUAAGGAUAUCACGACUUAGAUCACGAUUUGGUGUAGGUGGGUCCCGAAAGUUCAAAGCAACAGAAAUUUGCAGUUUACUGGUUACCUGGAAGACAAAAUCUCGAACCGCUCUGGGUAUUGGUAAGAAAAGAGAGGGAGGAACAGUGAGUAAGCUGAGAGAUGAGAUGAUGAUGAUGAUGAUGAGGAAAAUAAUAAUGAUGAUGACUUUUAGUCUUCCCUUUCAUCUCCUCCUCCUACUUUGCUGUCUUCCAAAUAGAAUCACCAUCAAAGUUUAUCCUUCUCAGUCCAAGUCAUGAGGAAGAAAGAAACGGUAAAAAAGGUAUACUUGGAAAAGAAAAGCUUAUUGUUGGAAAAGAGAAUAAAAUAAAAGCAAAUAGAAUAGAAUUUGACUUUUAUUCUUUUAUCUUCCUCCCACCAACUAUUAUAUAUUAGAAUAGUUUGUCUCUAGUUAAUGGUAGUGUUCGAGAUUCAUGUUAAAUCCAUUAUUUUUUUUUUCGUCUUCAGGCCAACUAUUAUUUUCUCCAACAUCAUUUUCCUAUGUAAUAUAUUUAUCUUUUCUUGUUGAUUCUUUUUUACCUCCGACAUUUUGUUUCUAAUCAUUUGUCUUCACUUUCUCUUUAAGUGGUCAGUUCGCAACAUUUACUUUACCUUUUCUUUUAUUCGAACAAAUGUCCAGGUAAAAGUUUCGUUUUUCGAUCGAUACUUGAAUCGAAAGUUAUUGGAAUAAUAAUGGUUUAGAUUGACAUUGAUGAUCGAUCAGAUUUUUACCUCAUUUCCAAUCAAUUUAAAUUUCUACUCGAAAUUAUUUUCGAUUCUUCAAUGAUUACAACUAAUC
Molecule: long non-coding RNA, 1717 nt
Organism: Panonychus citri (citrus red mite)
Lineage: Eukaryota; Metazoa; Arthropoda; Arachnida; Trombidiformes; Tetranychidae
Exons: 3
Source: RefSeq, a predicted model, not a curated record